Long non-coding RNA from Octopus sinensis (East Asian common octopus), 850 nucleotides. RefSeq lists it as uncharacterized. Lineage: Eukaryota; Metazoa; Mollusca; Cephalopoda; Octopoda; Octopodidae. The record is from RefSeq and is a predicted model, not a curated record. The transcript has 3 exons.
UACAUUCAAGUGCACAGCAUAUGUACCGUGGCCUCUUCCAUGGGAAGAAGUCGUCUUUCGAUGGACAAUAACACGCAACGGGAAGAACGUUGUGAUUGAAGAUAGAGCGAGAGUUUGGGGUUCUGACAAAUGUUAUACUGAAGUAACUUCAUCCUAUAAACACUAUGUACAAUAUGAUGACUUUACUCAACGUUCAACCGUUUCUUGUACAGUAUUUAACCAGACACGUACAGAGAUAAUCGACCCCCGUAUAAUAAUUGCUAGCAGCGCUCCUUCCGGUAUAGCAUACACUAAAUGUAUUUUGGUCGUCAAUCUCAUUCUUCUGCUUCUGGUUGCUGCAAUUUCUCGAUAGUGUCAUCCUUUUUUGCACAAAGACGAUAACGAAGAUUCCUCUUCAUGUUAACUGACUUUGGUAUCGACCUGCGAUUUAAGUGAUGCUGACAACAUCCAUGGACCUUUUCCCGAUCAAAAUUCUACAAGAUCUUUAUUAAAUUUUCACUGCUAAUCUUACCUGUUAAUUGCAAUCCUUGUAAGUCACUAACUGUAGAAAUACUAACAGUAGUAACGUAAACAACUAACAAUAUUAACAAUUCCACAUUCGGAGUUAGAGUAUUAUAUACAGAGACAGUCUGAAUAGGUUUUUUCAGUUUCAUCAGGUUAAAGUGAACAUUUGUUAAGUUAACCAAAAGGUUAGAAGUAAAAUUAUUUUGUAAACUACAUCAAAAAUGUUUUGAUUUAAAAGUUAAGAAUUAUUGUUACAGGAUAUAUAUAAAUAGAUAAGGAUUGUAUAUUAUUUAACAAUUUUAUGUAUAAAAUCCGUGUGAAAUAAAUAAAAGCAAUUGAAAAAUCA